Molecule: ribosomal RNA, 376 nt
Filed under: uncultured organism
Description: partial 16S ribosomal RNA
Rfam family: Bacterial small subunit ribosomal RNA
Source: RNAcentral
GUAGGGUGCGAGCGUUAAUCGGGAAUUACUGGGGCGUAAAGCGUGCGCAGGCGGUUAUGUAAGACAGAUGUGAAAUCCCCCGGGGCUCAACCUGGGGAACUGCAUUUGUGACUGCAUGGCUAGAGUACGGUAGAGGGGGAUGGAAUUCCGCGUGUAGCAGUGAAAUGCGUAGAUAUGCGGAGGAACACCGAUGGCGAAGGCAAUCCCCUGGACCUGUACUGACGCUCAUGCACGAAAGCGUGGGGAGCAAACAGGAUUAGAUACCCUGGUAGUCCACGCCCUAAACGAUGUCAACUGGUUGUUGGGAAUUAGUUUUCUCAGUAACGAAGCUAACGCGUGAAGUUGACCGCCUGGGGAGUACGGCCGCAAAGGUUGA